GGAUAACUUACCCUUUAGGACUUGGAUAACUCUGGGAAACUGGGGAUAAUACUGGAUAUUAGGCUAUGCCUGGAAUGGUUUGCCUUUGAAAUGUUUUUUCGCCUAAGGAUAGGUCUGCGGCUGAUUAGGUCGUUGGUGGGGUAAUGGCCCACCAAGCCGAUGAUCGGUACGGGUUGUGAGAGCAAGGGCCCGGAGAUGGAACCUGAGACAAGGUUCCAGACCCUACGGGGUGCAGCAGGCGCGAAACCUCCGCAAUGUACGAAAGUGCGACGGGGGGAUCCCAAGUGUUAUGCUUUUUUGUAUGACUCUUCAUUAGUGUAAAAAGCUUUUAGAAUAAGAGCUGGGCAAGACCGGUGCCAGCCGCCGCGGUAACACCGGCAGCUCGAGUGGUAGCUGUUUUUAUUGGGCCUAAAGCGUUCGUAGCCGGUUUGAUAAGUCUUUGGUGAAAGCUUGUAGCUUAACUAUAAGAAUUGCUGGAGAUACUAUUAGACUUGAAGUCGGGAGAGGUUAGAGGUACUACCGGGGUAGGGGUGAAAUCCUAUAAUCCUGGGAGGACCACCUGUGGCGAAGGCGUCUAACUGGAACGAUCUUGACGGUGAGUAACGAAAGCCAGGGGCGCGAACCGGAUUAGAUACCCGGGUAGUCCUGGCCGUAAACGAUGUGGACUUGGUGUUGGAAUGGCUUUGAGUUGUUCCGGUGCCGAAGGGAAGCUGUUAAGUCCACCGCCUGGGAAGUACGGUCGCAAGACUGAAACUU
Molecule: ribosomal RNA, 756 nt
Filed under: uncultured archaeon
Lineage: Archaea
Description: bacterial SSU rRNA
Rfam family: Archaeal small subunit ribosomal RNA
Source: RNAcentral